RNAcentral lists this ribosomal RNA (301 nucleotides) under uncultured bacterium. RNAcentral's name for it is "partial 16S ribosomal RNA". It matches the Rfam family "Bacterial small subunit ribosomal RNA", at positions 509 to 807 of the family's 1533-position model. The record is from RNAcentral.
CAGUCGCCGCGGUAAUACGUAGGGUGCGAGCGUUAAUCGGAAUUACUGGGCGUAAAGCGUGCGCAGGCGGUUUUGUAAGACAGGCGUGAGAUCCCCGGGCUCAACCUGGGAAUGGCGCUUGUGACUGCAAAGCUAGAGUGCGGCAGAGAGGGAUGGAAUUCCGCGUGUAGCAGUGAAAUGCGUAGAUAUGCGGAGGAACACCGAUGGCGAAGGCAAUCCCCUGGGCCUGCACUGACGCUGAUGCACGAAAGCUAGGGGAGCAAACAGGAUUAGAUACCCGCGUAGUCCCUGUCUCUUAUAC